This 513-nucleotide unclassified non-coding RNA is filed under the name uncultured Glomus. RNAcentral's name for it is "SSU rRNA". It matches the Rfam family "Eukaryotic small subunit ribosomal RNA", at positions 569 to 1092 of the family's 1831-position model. Lineage: Eukaryota; Fungi; Glomeromycota; Glomeromycetes; Glomerales; Glomeraceae. The record is from RNAcentral.
AGCAGCCGCGGUAAUUCCAGCUCCAAUAGCGUAUAUUAAAGUUGUUGCAGUUAAAAGCUCGUAGUUGAAUUUCGGGAUCAGUACGCCGGUCGUGCCUUCGGUAUGCACUGGUGUCACUGGUUUCUCCCUUCUGAAGAACCAUCAUGCCAUUAAGUUGGUGUGGCGGGAAAUCAGGACUGUUACUUUGAAAAAUUGAGUGUUUAAAGCAGGCUCGCGCUUGAAUACAUUAGCAUGGAAUAAUGAAAUAGGACGUUUGACCCUAUUUUGUUGGUUCUAGGAUCGACGUAAUGAUUAAUAGGGAUAGUUGGGGGCAUUAGUAUUCAAUUGUCAGAGGUGAAAUUCUUGGAUUUAUUGAAGACUAACUACUGCGAAAGCAUUUGCCAAGGAUGUUUCAUUAAUCAAGAACGAAGUUAGGGAAUCGAAGACGAUCAGAUACCGUCGUAGUCUUAACCAUAAACUAUGCCGACUAGGGAUCGGAUGAUGUUUAAUUUUUAAUGUACUCUAUUCGGUCCG